RNAcentral lists this ribosomal RNA (491 nucleotides) under uncultured bacterium. Its description in RNAcentral is "partial 16S ribosomal RNA". It matches the Rfam family "Bacterial small subunit ribosomal RNA", at positions 29 to 506 of the family's 1533-position model. The record is from RNAcentral.
AGUGAACGCUGGCGGUAGGCCUAACACAUGCAAGUCGAACGGCAGCACAGUAAGAGCUUGCUCUUACGGGUGGCGAGUGGCGGACGGGUGAGGAAUACAUCGGAAUCUACUUUUUCGUGGGGGAUAACGUAGGGAAACUUACGCUAAUACCGCAUACGACCUACGGGUGAAAGCAGGGGAUCUUCGGACCUUGCGCGAUUGAAUGAGCCGAUGUCGGAUUAGCUAGUUGGCGGGGUAAAGGCCCACCAAGGCGACGAUCCGUAGCUGGUCUGAGAGGAUGAUCAGCCACACUGGAACUGAGACACGGUCCAGACUCCUACGGGAGGCAGCAGUGGGGAAUAUUGGACAAUGGGCGCAAGCCUGAUCCAGCCAUACCGCGUGGGUGAAGAAGGCCUUCGGGUUGUAAAGCCCUUUUGUUGGGAAAGAAAAGCAGCAGGUUAAUACCCCGCUGUUCUGACGAGACCCAAAGAAUAAGCACCGGCUAACUUCGU